Molecule: ribosomal RNA, 329 nt
Filed under: uncultured eukaryote
Lineage: Eukaryota
Description: partial 18S ribosomal RNA
Rfam family: Eukaryotic small subunit ribosomal RNA
Source: RNAcentral
CCCUUAGAUGUCCUGGGCCGCACGCGCGCUACACAGAGUGUCUGAGAUACGAGUCUGCCUGGUCCGGCAAGGUCUAGGUAAUCGCUAAAAGACACAUCAUGCUUGGGAUAGAUUAUUGCAAAUAUUAAUCUUGAACGAGGAAUUCCUAGUAAGCGCAAGUCAACAGCUUGCGUUGAUUACGUCCCUGCCCUUUGUACACACCGCCCGUCGCUACUACUGAUUGGAUGUUUAAGCGAGGUUCUCGAACUGCUAGCGACUUAGCUUCGGUGAGGUCGCAGUGUGGGAAGUGAACCGAGCUUUGGUGUCUAGAGGAAGUAAAAGUCGUAACA